GUGGAUUAGAUACCCUAGUAGUCCACGCCCUAAACGAUGUCGACUGGUUGUUGGGGGUUUGACACUCUCAGUAACGAAGCUAACGCGUGAAGUCGACCGCCUGGGGAGUACGGCCGCAAGGUUAAAACUCAAAGGAAUUGACGGGGACCCGCACAAGCGGUGGAUUAUGUGGAUUAAUUCGAUGCAACGCGAAAAACCUUACCUACCCUUGACAUGUCCGGAAGGCUUGAGAGAUCAGGCUGUGCCCGAAAGGGAACCGGAACACAGGUGCUGCACGGCCGUCGCCAACU
This 290-nucleotide ribosomal RNA is filed under the name uncultured bacterium. RNAcentral describes it as "partial 16S ribosomal RNA". It matches the Rfam family "Bacterial small subunit ribosomal RNA", at positions 773 to 1060 of the family's 1533-position model. The record is from RNAcentral.